Long non-coding RNA from Anastrepha obliqua, 418 nucleotides. RefSeq lists it as uncharacterized. The transcript is spliced from 2 exons. The record is from RefSeq and is a predicted model, not a curated record. Lineage: Eukaryota; Metazoa; Arthropoda; Insecta; Diptera; Tephritidae.
AUAAAAUAUAAUAAAUUUUAUUUCAGAAAAUCAAUGCAUGCAAAAAUCCAAUAAUUAUUACUAAAGAAAAACAAGUAUUUUAGCAUGAAAUUUUAAACUUUUGAAAAGCAACCUUCUUGAAGCAUAAGAAAACUAAAUCGUUUGUUGAUAUUACUGGAAAAGGUGCGAACAACGAAUCAUGAAUGGAAGGACCUUGACUUUGAAAUAGAGCUUGUUUACCAUUUAGUGUAAUCACUAGUUCACUGUACAGUGGAGCUGAGUUGCUUAGGGAGAGCACACGAAAUACAAACUAUAUAAAAUUUACGCUAAUGGACUUUAGCACAGGUAAGGAAAGUAUAAAAAUUUGUAAAACUAUAAAUAGAUACAUAAAAACUAACUUACAAUUAAAAUAAAUUAUAUGCGUACUUGAAGAAAUAAA